UAGGGAAUCUUCACAAUGGGCGCAAGCCUGAUGGAGCAACACCGCGUGAGUGAAGAAGGGUUUCGGCUCGUAAAGCUCUGUUGUUGGAGAAGAACGUGCGUGAGAGUAACUGUUCACGCAGUGACGGUAUCCAACCAGAAAGUCACGGCUAACUACGUGCC
This 161-nucleotide ribosomal RNA is filed under the name uncultured bacterium. Its description in RNAcentral is "partial 16S ribosomal RNA". It matches the Rfam family "Bacterial small subunit ribosomal RNA", at positions 355 to 509 of the family's 1533-position model. The record is from RNAcentral.